UGAGGAAUAUUGGUCAAUGGGCGGAAGCCUGAACCAGCCAAGUAGCGUGCAGGAUGACGGCCCUACGGGUUGUAAACUGCUUUUAUGCGGGGAUAAAAAGGAGGACGUGUCCUUCAUUGCAGGUACCGCAUGAAUAAGGACCGGCUAAUUCCGUGCCAGCAGCCGCGGUAAUACGGAAGGUCCGGGCGUUAUCCGGAUUUAUUGGGUUUAAAGGGAGCGCAGACGGCCUUUUAAGCGUGCUGUGAAAUAUUGCGGCUCAACCGUAAGAUUGCAGCGCGAACUGUGAGGCUUGAGUUCGCUGGAGGUACGCGGAAUUCGUGGUGUAGCGGUGAAAUGCUUAGAUAUCACGAGGAACUCCGAUUGCGAAGGCAGCGUACCGUGGCGUUACUGACGUUCAUGCUCGAAAGCGCGGGUAUCGAACAGG
Molecule: ribosomal RNA, 424 nt
Filed under: uncultured bacterium
Lineage: Bacteria
Description: bacterial SSU rRNA
Rfam family: Bacterial small subunit ribosomal RNA
Source: RNAcentral